Molecule: long non-coding RNA, 376 nt
Organism: Clarias gariepinus (North African catfish)
Lineage: Eukaryota; Metazoa; Chordata; Actinopteri; Siluriformes; Clariidae
Exons: 3
Source: RefSeq, a predicted model, not a curated record
UCAGGGCAGUAAACAAGGUCUCACCGACUCCGUGUGUCCCUUCACAGGUAUGUGGAUGUCAGUAAGAGCGCUGGAGUUCCCUGCCGAUGCUUUAACUUCACCGCUUCCUUCGAACAAGCCAAGCACAAUAACAGGUUCCGGGAGAUGGUUCCUUCAGCCACCAAGCAUGCUUCUGUCAACGACAUGGUCUUCCACAGCUACAAGAAGAAAUUUGUGGCUCCUUCUCUGUCAGAAGGCUUCUCAGAAAUCCUGCAGAUUCACUUCAUUCCCAGUUUUACUGACAGUCGGUCUGAGGGGCUUUUCAGGCAGUUCUCAGAGGGCUGAACCAAGAAUAUGAUGACAGAAUAGAAGUGGAAUAGUAUAUGAAGGCUGAAAA